RNAcentral lists this ribosomal RNA (377 nucleotides) under uncultured bacterium. RNAcentral's name for it is "bacterial SSU rRNA". It matches the Rfam family "Bacterial small subunit ribosomal RNA", at positions 521 to 896 of the family's 1533-position model. The record is from RNAcentral.
UAAUACGGAGGUUGCAAGCGUUGUUCGGAAUAACUGGGCGUAAAGGGAGCGCAGGCGGCUUGGUAAGUCUAAAGUGAAAUUCCAGGGCUCAACCCUGGACGUGCUUUGGAUACUGCCUGGCUUGAGUACGUGAGAGGAGAUUGGAAUUCCAGGUGUAGCGGUGAAAUGCGUAGAUAUCUGGAGGAACACCGGUGGCGAAAGCGGAUCUCUGGCACGUUACUGACGCUGAGGCUCGAAAGCAUGGGGAGCAAACGGGAUUAGAUACCCCGGUAGUCCAUGCCGUAAACGUUGUGCGCUAGGUGUAGGAGGUAUCGACCCCUUCUGUGCCGCAGCUAACGCAUUAAGCGCACCGCCUGGGGAGUACGGUCGCAAGACUG